AUGAACGCUGGCGGCGUGCCUAAUACAUGCAAGUCGAGCGAACGGACGAGAAGCUUGCUUUUCUGAUGUUAGCGGCGGACGGGUGAGUAACACGUGGAUAACCUACCUAUAAGACUGGGAUAACUUCGGGAAACCGGAGCUAAUACCGGAUAAUAUUUUGAACCGCAUGGUUCAAAAGUGAAAGACGGUCUUGCUGUCACUUAUAGAUGGAUCCGCGCUGCAUUAGCUAGUUGGUAAGGUAACGGCUUACCAAGGCAACGAUGCAUAGCCGACCUGAGAGGGUGAUCGGCCACACUGGAACUGAGACACGGUCCAGACUCCUACGGGAGGCAGCAGUAGGGAAUCUUCCGCAAUGGGCGAAAGCCUGACGGAGCAACGCCGCGUGAGUGAUGAAGGUCUUCGGAUCGUAAAACUCUGUUAUUAGGGAAGAACAUAUGUGUAAGUAACUGUGAACAUCUUGACGGUACCUAAUCAGAAAGCCACGGCUAACUACGUG
Molecule: ribosomal RNA, 496 nt
Filed under: uncultured bacterium
Lineage: Bacteria
Description: partial 16S ribosomal RNA
Rfam family: Bacterial small subunit ribosomal RNA
Source: RNAcentral